This is a long non-coding RNA of Liolophura sinensis, 2909 nucleotides long. RefSeq lists it as uncharacterized. NCBI's taxonomy places the organism in Eukaryota, Metazoa, Mollusca, Polyplacophora, Chitonida, Chitonidae. The transcript has 7 exons. The record is from RefSeq and is a predicted model, not a curated record.
GGUGAAACAACAACCACGUGUGUAUUAUUUACACAUACGUACAGCUAUAGAUUAGGUACCUGUGUGCAGUACCGGUAUGGUACCGAGCAUUUAUAGUUUAAUAAUAACAUAUUUUUAUUAAUGCAUGUACCUUAUAGCAUGAAAAAAUCAUUUAAUCGCAUUUGGUUCGCCUUUAAACGUGUGAAUUUUAAACCUUGAAAUUCCGACUGGGGAUCAGGAUUCAUAUAUAGUUUCGAGCACCCGGGAUCCUGGCAGUGACCAGUACGUCAUAAGUAACAGAGAGCGUGCAUGAAGUAGGACCAUACAAUGUGCACUCUCAUCAAAUGCGCUGUGAAGUUCACGCUGUCAACUCUAAAGUCACAUCGAUGCACCUUCUCAAAAACUCAGGCUUGUUAUCCCCUUCAUAUGGAGCCCACCAAUUCUCUAAGCUGAUGUGUCUAACUACUCAGUGCUCACAAGUGGUGGAGCUGUGCAAGCUUGUUCUUGGAGAGUUCAACAUUGACUGAUACAGGGGGUACAGUUCCAAUAACUUCAGUGUUAUCUGUCGCCGUAAACCAGUGUUCAACCAUUUUCAGCAAUACAGUUCCACAAGAGCGUAAGAGGGGCAAAAACCACAUUUAUUUUUGCUCAAUAAUUUAAAAUUUGAGAGAUACUCGUAUAAACAGUUAUGUAAAUGUCGUUCAGUGAUUUUUGAAAAACUGAGUAGGACAGAUAUUGGAUGAUAGUUUUCAACUUUGAACCCCUUUUGUGAAGAGGGAUAACCAUGUCUGGUCAUAACACAUUUGUUUAUUAGCAUGGUAAAAGAUUUUGCAAUAAUAGGGGCAGAUGAUGAAAGAAAUUUAGAAUUGACAUUUAGAAUAUAGAAUUUUUGAAUUGAUCACUAGCCUUAUCUUUAUCAAGCCUUUAAAGGUAUUGUAAAACAGAAACAUACAACAUAUUUGGUAUGGAGUAAAAAGUAUCAUGAAGAACUUUUCCCUCAACUUGUUCCCUGAGUUUUUCAAGACUUUGAACAAAAUUGUCCUUGUUUAUAUUAUUAAUAUCUAUUAAAGAAUGGGGACAGUUGAGAAGAAAGUAUUGAAAAUAUGGAAAAUUUUAGCUGGAUCAUCUAUUAAAUUGCCAUCCUUCUCAGUCAUAGCCAAAUACUGCUUGCACAAACAGUGAUCUCCCUGAUAACACAGGACAAUGGCAUCUGUUACGCAAGUCAGGUUUCUAUAUAUGAAGUCCUGUAUGUCACUUGGAGUCUGUCAGUAGGCCUCUGUACACUCACUGUUUCACCUAGAUGCAAAGUCGUCCACAAAGCCAGUUUCCUGUCUUUCUUUCACUCCGCUGUCCUUGUGGGGAACACAUUGUCACAGAAUGCCAUCACUUUCACCCUGCUGCAAUGGCUUUUCCCCAAGUGGUGUGUCCAGAUGGUGCACUGACUCAGUGGUCCAUGGCUACUGCGUAUAAUGAACUGUCCGCAUCGGUUGUUAUGUGUUUCACCUUAUCUGUACUAUUGAUGCCUCAUUGUGCUUGACUAGACUGUCUCAAACUACAUUGCAAUGAGUGCAACAAACGGCAUGCAAGUUCAGCAUGUUCAGUAACUGACCCAUUUUCAUUGCUAGUGUAGGUUCAUUCCAACUAGCAGACAUUUUCAUUGUCUUUGCCUGCUUGGGGUCGCUGUGAGUUCAAGUCCAGCUCAUGCUGGCUUCCUCUCUGGCCGUAAGUGGGAAGGUCUGUCUGUCUUCCCCAAGGUUCUGCCCAGUUUCCACCCACCAUAAUGCUGGCUGUCAUCGUAUAAGUGAUGUAUUCUUGAGUACUGCGUAAAACACCAAUCAGAUAAAUUAAAUAAAUAAAUUUUUGCCUGAUAGUAUCUCCAUGGUACAACUUUCUACUUUUAGAAGAGAAGCCGCACUCAGCACAGGCAAACCUCUCUGUGACGCACACACCCCAAGGCACCUCGCUGUUCAAAUCUCAGUUCAGCCCUUCAGGACAGUAUGAUGUUGUGGUCCAGUGGUAGGCAAAUGCGGUAUUCUACAGCUCGGCGGUCUUUCCCAGGUGCAGCAGUCUGUAGGUGUUUUGCUCAGCUUUUGAUCUCUGGCAUUCAGCCUGCUGGUCUGCCAGCAAGCUGAAGAUGGUCGUGAGUUUUCCCCAAGCUUUGCCCGGUUUAAUACUGGCUAUCAUCAUUAGCUGUCUGGUUGAAUAACAAAUAUUCAUGAAUUUCAUCAUAUUUGGCCACUGUCCUAACAGAUUGACAACUCCAUUUUCUGAUAUGGUGGAACAGUUUGCACUGUCAUCGUUGUCUUCAUCUCAUUGAACUUCAAGCAAAAUGCAAGCCAUCAAUCCAGGACCUCCUACAGAAAUGCAUCCUACACCUUUCACAGACCUAAAUGUACUGUGUGCAGUAAUGCUCGAAUGACUAUACUCGGGAACGUCCAAAUAUGGAGAAGAGUAAACAUUAAUAACAUAUUUGUAAUAAUCAGCUCAUUACAUAUUAUUCUUGCUGAUAGUAUGAGUACAUCAAUGCAGAAAUUGCAAAGUUCUUGCCCACUUGUUAAAGUGAAGGUAGAAAGUGAUAAUAUUUAAAUUGUGUAAUAUAUAUUACAUAUAGGUGAAUGACUUAAAAUUUUACCCCAAAAGUUCAUUUUUAGAGGCAAAUAAAUGUUGUCAGAUAUACUUUUGGUGCGAUAACUUACCUAUUCCUUAGGAUAUCGUCCUACUUUCCAAACAAACCCCAAAACACCUUUAUAACAUUAAUAGAACUCUCAGAAUAAGACACAAGGUACAAUUUUUGUGAUGGUCCAAAUUUAAGGUCAUAUACCAUGAAUUUCCAAAGUACUUUAACUGCCUUAUCGGUGUAAAUGUUCAAAUAAUAUGUCUUUGUCCAUGUUCAUUUGUAAUAUUUUUUGGUUAAAUAAGUAUAAAUAAAG